Molecule: ribosomal RNA, 492 nt
Filed under: uncultured bacterium
Lineage: Bacteria
Description: partial 16S ribosomal RNA
Rfam family: Bacterial small subunit ribosomal RNA
Source: RNAcentral
AGUGAACGCUGGCGGUAGGCCUAACACAUGCAAGUCGAACGGCAGCACAGUAAGAGCUUGCUCUUACGGGUGGCGAGUGGCGGACGGGUGAGGAAUACAUCGGAAUCUACUUUUUCGUGGGGGAUAACGUAGGGAAACUUACGCUAAUACCGCAUACGGCCUACGGGUGAAAGCAGGGGAUCUUCGGACCUUGCGCGAUUGAAUGAGCCGAUGUCGGAUUAGCUAGUUGGCGGGGUAAAGGCCCACCAAGGCGACGAUCCGUAGCUGGUCUGAGAGGAUGAUCAGCCACACUGGAACGGAGACACGGUCCAGACUCCUACGGGAGGCAGCAGUGGGGAAUAUUGGACAAUGGGCGCAAGCCUGAUCCAGCCAUACCGCGUGGGUGAAGAAGGCCUUCGGGUUGUAAAGCCCUUUUGUUGGGAAAGAAAAGCAGCAGGUUAAUACCCCGCUGUUCUGACGGUACCCAAAGAAUAAGCACCGGCUAACUUCGUG